GCCUUGGUGAUUCAGUGGUAGAAUUCUUGCCUCCCACAUGGGAGAUCCAGGUUCGAUUCCCAGCCAGUGCA
Molecule: transfer RNA, 71 nt
Filed under: Erinaceus europaeus (western European hedgehog)
Lineage: Eukaryota; Metazoa; Chordata; Mammalia; Eulipotyphla; Erinaceidae
Rfam family: tRNA
About the family: Transfer RNA (tRNA) molecules are approximately 80 nucleotides in length. Their secondary structure includes four short double-helical elements and three loops (D, anti-codon, and T loops). Further hydrogen bonds mediate the characteristic L-shaped molecular structure. tRNAs have two regions of fundamental functional importance: the anti-codon, which is responsible for specific mRNA codon recognition, and the 3' end, to which the tRNAs corresponding amino acid is attached (by aminoacyl-tRNA synthetases). tRNAs cope with the degeneracy of the genetic code in two manners: having more than one tRNA (with a specific anti-codon) for a particular amino acid; and 'wobble' base-pairing, i.e. permitting non-standard base-pairing at the 3rd anti-codon position.
Source: Rfam by way of RNAcentral